UUCUCGUUAGAUCAACGAAGUCAAGCAUCAUUGGGCGCGGUCAGUACUUGGGUGGGUGACCACCUGGGAACACCGCGUGCAGU
This is a non-coding RNA of Caerostris darwini, 83 nucleotides long. The record is from the annotation of a GenBank genome assembly. Lineage: Eukaryota; Metazoa; Arthropoda; Arachnida; Araneae; Araneidae.